RNAcentral lists this long non-coding RNA (345 nucleotides) under Homo sapiens (human). RNAcentral's name for it is "HSALNT0290141". The record is from RNAcentral. Lineage: Eukaryota; Metazoa; Chordata; Mammalia; Primates; Hominidae.
CAAAGUGCUGGGAUUACAGGUGUGGGCCACUGCACCUAGCCUCAACCCUCUUUGUGUAAGACAAGUAACUUUGCUCAAGAUGAAUCCUUAGUGGACAAAAAUUUCCCUCUUGUCAGUUCUCUGCUUAUAUAGUUGCUUAUUUCUAAGUCUGACUCAGGCAAGAGGUUUGGCCCCCCACAAGUAGAAACUAAUGGGAGUGUUGUCAUUGGAACAUCUGCACGUGAAAAUGUGUUGGUGGUAAAGGGAUGGGAAACGUGUGUUGCCAAGGAGUUCCCAGCACCUGAAAGAAGCAGAAAGUGUGUGGCAAUUAAUUGUCCUAUAAAGGUUGGAAAUUGUAUAAAGCAA